ACCUGGUUGAUCCUGCCAGAGGCGACCGCUAUUGGAGUUCGAUUAAGCUAUGCGAGUAGAAAGAAAUUAGAUUCUUUGCAUACUGCUCAGUAACACGUGGAUAACCUGCCCUGUGCUGGAGGAUAAUCUUGGGAAACUGAGGAUAAUACUCCAUAGACCACUACGCCUGGAACGGUGAGUGGUUCAAAGCUCCGGCGGCACAGGGUGGGUCUGCGGCGUAUCAGGUUGUAGGGGGUGUAAUGGACCCCCUAGCCAUCGACGCGUACGGGUUGUGGGAGCAAUAGCCCGGAGACGGAUUCUGAGACACGAAUCCGGACCCUACGGGGUGCAGCAGGCGCGAAAACUUCACACUGCAGGCAACUGUGAUGAGGGAACUCCAAGUGACUGCACAAUGUGUAGCCUUUUCUUGACUGUUAAUAAGUCUUGGAAUAAGGGCUGGGAAAGACCGGUGCCAGCCGCCGCGGUAAUACCGGCAGCUCGAGUGGUCGUCGCUUUUAUUGGGCCUAAAACGUCCGUAGCCUGUUCAGUAAACCCGUGGGUAAAUCAACCAGCUUAACUGGUUGAAUUCUGCGGAGACUGCUGGACUAGGGACCGGGAGAGGUAUGAGGUACUCUCAG
This 617-nucleotide ribosomal RNA is filed under the name uncultured Candidatus Poseidoniales archaeon. Its description in RNAcentral is "bacterial SSU rRNA". It matches the Rfam family "Archaeal small subunit ribosomal RNA", at positions 1 to 624 of the family's 1478-position model. The record is from RNAcentral. Lineage: Archaea; Methanobacteriati; Thermoplasmatota; Candidatus Poseidoniia; Candidatus Poseidoniales.